This 398-nucleotide ribosomal RNA is filed under the name uncultured bacterium. Its description in RNAcentral is "partial 16S ribosomal RNA". It matches the Rfam family "Bacterial small subunit ribosomal RNA", at positions 360 to 775 of the family's 1533-position model. The record is from RNAcentral.
AAUCUUGCGCAAUGGGCGAAAGCUUUACGCAGCCAUGCCGCGUGAAUGAUGAAGGUCUACGGAUUGUAAAAUUCUUUCACCGGGGACGAUAAUGACGGUACCCGGAGAAGAAGCCCCGGCUAACUUCGUGCCUGCCGCCGCGGUAAUUCGAAGGGGGCUAGCGUUGGUCGGAAUUACUGGGGGUAAAGGGCGCGUAGGCGGAUCGUUAAGUCAGAGGUGAAAUCCCAGGGCUAAACCCUGGAACUGCCUUGGAUACUGGCGAUCUUGAGUAUGAGAGAGGUAUGUGGAACUCCGAGUGUAGAGGUGAAAUUCGUAGAUAUUCGGAAGAACACCAGUGGCGAAGGCGACAUACUGGCUCAUUACUGACGCUGAGGCGCGAAAGCGUGGGGAGCAAACAG